Molecule: unclassified non-coding RNA, 147 nt
Filed under: uncultured Helotiales
Lineage: Eukaryota; Fungi; Ascomycota; Leotiomycetes; Helotiales
Description: sequence contains ITS2
Source: RNAcentral
CAACCCUCAAGCAAUGCUUGGUAUUGGGCUUCGCUACUCACUUAGCGGGCCUUAAAAUUAGUGGCAAUGCCGUCAGGGCUUUGAGUAUAGUAAAUAUCCUUGCUAUAGAGACUCAGUAGACAUUGGCCAUUAACCCCCUCUCUUUAA